AGUUUGAUCCUGGCUCAGGAUGAACGCUGGCGGCGUGCCUAACACAUGCAAGUCGAACGGAGCUUUAGAUGAAACCUAGUGAUUUUAAAGCUUAGUGGCGGACGGGUGAGUAACGCGUGGGUAACCUGCCUCAUCGAGGGGGAUAACAGUUAGAAAUGACUGCUAAUACCGCAUAAGCGCACAGAUCGGCAUCGGUCAGUGUGAAAAGAUUUAUCACGAUGGGAUGGACCCGCGUCUGAUUAGCUAGUUGGAGGUGUAACGGACCACCAAGGCGACGAUCAGUAGCCGGACUGAGAGGUUGAACGGCCACAUUGGGACUGAGACACGGCCCAAACUCCUACGGGAGGCAGCAGUGGGGGAUAUUGCACAAUGGGGGAAACCCUGAUGCAGCGACGCCGCGUGGGUGAAGAAGUCUUUCGGGAUGUAAAGCCCUAUCAGCAGGGAAGAAGUAAGACGGUACCUGACUAAGAAGCCCCGGCUAACUACGUGCCAGCAGCCGCGGUAAUACGUAGGGGGCAAGCGUUAUCCGGAUUUACUGGGUGUAAAGGGAGCGUAGACGGACGUGCAAGUCUGAAGUGAAAAUAAAGGGCUCAACCCUUUACCUGCUUUGGAAACUGUAGGUCUUGAGUACCGGAGGGGUAAGCGGAAUUCCUGGUGUAGCGGUGAAAUGCGUAGAUAUCAGGAAGAACACCGGUGGCGAAGGCGGCUUACUGGACGGUAACUGACGUUGAGGCUCGAAAGCGUGGGGAGCAAACAGGAUUAGAUACCCUGGUAGUCCACGCCGUAAACGAUGAGUACUAAGUGUGCGGAGGCGAAGCCUCUGCGUGCUGCCGCAAACGCAGUAAGUACUCCACCUGGGGAGUACGUUCGCAAGAAUGAAACUCAAAGGAAUUGACGGGGACCCGCACAAGCGGUGGAACAUGUGGUUUAAUUCGAAGCAACGCGAAGAACCUUACCAGGUCUUGACAUCCCGAUGAAUAGGUGGUAAUGCACCUAGCUCUUCGGAGCAUCGGAGACAGGUGGUGCAUGGUUGUCGUCAGCUCGUGUCGUGAGAUGUUGGGUUAAGUCCCGCAACGAGCGCAACCCUUAUCCUUAGUAGCCAGCAGUCAGAUGGGCACUCUAGGGAGACUGCCAGGGAUAACC
RNAcentral lists this ribosomal RNA (1143 nucleotides) under uncultured bacterium. Its description in RNAcentral is "bacterial SSU rRNA". It matches the Rfam family "Bacterial small subunit ribosomal RNA", at positions 10 to 1163 of the family's 1533-position model. The record is from RNAcentral.